Adelges cooleyi (spruce gall adelgid) is the source of this 1398-nucleotide RNA transcript. RefSeq lists it as uncharacterized. The transcript is spliced from 10 exons. NCBI's taxonomy places the organism in Eukaryota, Metazoa, Arthropoda, Insecta, Hemiptera, Adelgidae. The record is from RefSeq and is a predicted model, not a curated record.
CCCGCCGUGAAUGCUGCACGUCGCAUUGAAUUGAUAUAAGAAAUCAAAUCGCGUAUUGUGCAGGAAAACAGUCCAAACGACGCUUUCUAUGUAUUGUUUGUACACGAUAAAUCCCCCCAAAAAAAUGAACCGAUUAUGUAAAUAGAUGAACACAAUAUUUAUACGGAAAAAAAAUAUUUGGAUUGUGUUUUUUCGGUCGACACAAAAGGCCAACCAUAAGUCGCAAGCAGUAUAUUUAGUACCAAAAGCUGAACAAGUCGACUGUUGUCCAAGAACCAACUCCACAAUUUAAAUAAAUAUGAAACUCUUCUGUUUAUUAUUAUGUUUGUUUUUUGUGGAUGUAUUGGCAAAUGAGGAUGAGUCUGUUUAUAUAAAUUAUGUUUUCAAGACAACUGCCACCUUAAGAGAAGCUUAUUUAAUGGAAGAUUUUAGGAUUCAUGCAGGAGAUAAAUCUAGAAAAAAUGGAUUGGAGCUUGUAAUUGAGACAAUGAAUGAUGCCACGGAUUUCUGCAGAUAUAAUUUUUUGCUUGCUGUACCAGGUAAUAGUUUUUGUUGAAUUUUAUGAAAAAAUUUCCAAUAUUUCAUUCCUAUCGAAUUUUUCAACAAGACUCUCAUCGUAUUGAAUAUACAGUGGAGCAUAUUUCUUCCGAGCUACCAAUACACAUGAUUUUUUUACUUUGAAAUUCGACUUCCUGUUCAUACUUCAUAACAGAAUAGAAAAUUAAAUGCAAUAUCAUUAAUUUAUGUGUUGUUAAUUUCAGACCAUUUAGAAAUUGUCCCCAGAAUAGAGGCACUUCCAGCAUUUGGUGACAAAACACAAAGUGGGGCAACAUUAGAAAAAAUUGCAAGCAAGAGAAGACGACUUGUUGCUUGGACUUUAAAAAAUGUAAUCGGACGUCGUAUAAUAGAAACUGUGCAAGAUGGAGAUGAUGAAGCUUCUUUAUUACUCAAGUGUCGUUUUCUUGGAGUAUUCGCUAGUACACAAACUCCAUCAACAUACAUAACAAAAGUUGAUAUUGACUUACCUGCCCGUACCUGCAUCUUCACGGAUAUUAAUGAAGGCAUAAAAAGAUACAACACAGCUGAUGUUGUAUUUCUUGAGAAACUAAUACGAGAGGGUCAUCCACAAACUGCACCUUAUUAAUCUAGCGUUAGUUAAACACUGGCAACUGUAUUCUGUUCAUUGCACAAUAAAUUCAAAUUUAUCUUAUUAUUAUCACUAUUAUACAUUAUAAAAUCUUUAAUUGUAGUAAAAUAUUAACAUUUACUUAAGCUGACCGGAAAAGAACCGUCGGUGGAUUUUUUCAAUAACAUAUACCACAUAAUACAUUUUUUUGUUAGUUCAUAAUAUUAUAUGUUUAUUUCUGUUUUAUGACAUGUCUACCAAUAAAGUAAAUA